RNAcentral lists this ribosomal RNA (700 nucleotides) under Citrobacter koseri. Its description in RNAcentral is "bacterial SSU rRNA". It matches the Rfam family "Bacterial small subunit ribosomal RNA", at positions 28 to 717 of the family's 1533-position model. Lineage: Bacteria; Pseudomonadati; Pseudomonadota; Gammaproteobacteria; Enterobacterales; Enterobacteriaceae. The record is from RNAcentral.
AUUGAACGCUGGCGGCAGGCCUAACACAUGCAAGUCGAACGGUAACAGGAAGCAGCUUGCUGCUUCGCUGACGAGUGGCGGACGGGUGAGUAAUGUCUGGGAAACUGCCUGAUGGAGGGGGAUAACUACUGGAAACGGUAGCUAAUACCGCAUAACGUCGCAAGACCAAAGAGGGGGACCUUCGGGCCUCUUGCCAUCAGAUGUGCCCAGAUGGGAUUAGCUUGUUGGUGGGGUAACGGCUCACCAAGGCGACGAUCCCUAGCUGGUCUGAGAGGAUGACCAGCCACACUGGAACUGAGACACGGUCCAGACUCCUACGGGAGGCAGCAGUGGGGAAUAUUGCACAAUGGGCGCAAGCCUGAUGCAGCCAUGCCGCGUGUAUGAAGAAGGCCUUCGGGUUGUAAAGUACUUUCAGCGGGGAGGAAGGUGUUGUGGUUAAUAACCRCAGCAAUUGACGUUACCCGCAGAAGAAGCACCGGCUAACUCCGUGCCAGCAGCCGCGGUAAUACGGAGGGUGCAAGCGUUAAUCGGAAUUACUGGGCGUAAAGCGCACGCAGGCGGUCUGUUAAGUCAGAUGUGAAAUCCCCGGGCUCAACCUGGGAACUGCAUCUGAUACUGGCAGGCUUGAGUCUCGUAGAGGGGGGUAGAAUUCCAGGUGUAGCGGUGAAAUGCGUAGAGAUCUGGAGGAAUACCGGUGGCG